AGCGAACGCUGGCGGCAGGCUUAACACAUGCAAGUCGAGCGGGCAUCCUUGUGGUGUCCGCGGCAGACGGGUGAGUAACGCGUGGGAACGUGCCCUUCGGUUCGGAAUAACUCAGGGAAACUUGAGCUAAUACCGGAUACGUGCGAGAGCAGAAAGGUUUAUCUGCCGAAGGAUCGGCCCGCGUCUGAUUAGCUAGUUGGUGAGGUUAUGGCUCACCAAGGCGACGAUCAGUAGCUGGUCUGAGAGGAUGAUCAGCCACACUGGGACUGAGACACGGCCCAGACUCCUACGGGAGGCAGCAGUGGGGAAUAUUGGACAAUGGGGGCAACCCUGAUCCAGCCAUGCCGCGCGAGUGAUGACGGCCUUAGGGUUGUAAAGCUCUUUUCUUCGGGACGAUAAUGACGGUACCGGAGGAAUAAGCCCCGGCUAACUUCGUG
RNAcentral lists this ribosomal RNA (437 nucleotides) under uncultured bacterium. RNAcentral's name for it is "partial 16S ribosomal RNA". It matches the Rfam family "Bacterial small subunit ribosomal RNA", at positions 29 to 507 of the family's 1533-position model. The record is from RNAcentral.